RNAcentral lists this ribosomal RNA (440 nucleotides) under uncultured ammonia-oxidizing beta proteobacterium. Its description in RNAcentral is "bacterial SSU rRNA". It matches the Rfam family "Bacterial small subunit ribosomal RNA", at positions 198 to 619 of the family's 1533-position model. Lineage: Bacteria; Pseudomonadati; Pseudomonadota; Betaproteobacteria. The record is from RNAcentral.
GGAGGAAAGCAGGGGAUCGUAAGACCUUGCGCUUUUGGAGUGGCCGAUGCCUGAUUAGCUAGUUGGUGGGGUAAGAGCCUACCAAGGCGACGAUCAGUAGUUGGUCUGAGAGGACGACCAGCCACACUGGGACUGAGACACGGCCCAGACUCCUACGGGAGGCAGCAGUGGGGAAUUUUGGACAAUGGGCGAAAGCCUGAUCCAGCAAUGCCGCGUGAGUGAAGAAGGCCUUCGGGUUGUAAAGCUCUUUCAGUCGAGAAGAAAAGGUUGCGACUAAUAAUCGCAACUUAUGACGGUAUCGACAGAAGAAGCACCGGCUAACUACGUGCCAGCAGCCGCGGUAAUACGUAGGGUGCGAGCGUUAAUCGGAAUUACUGGGCGUAAAGGGUGCGCAGGCGGCUCUGUAAGUCAGACGUGAAAUCCCCGGGCUUAACCUGGGA